This 1181-nucleotide ribosomal RNA is filed under the name Salmonella enterica. RNAcentral's name for it is "partial 23S ribosomal RNA". It matches the Rfam family "Bacterial large subunit ribosomal RNA", at positions 578 to 1757 of the family's 2925-position model. The record is from RNAcentral. Lineage: Bacteria; Pseudomonadati; Pseudomonadota; Gammaproteobacteria; Enterobacterales; Enterobacteriaceae.
AGCACAGGUUUACCUGUGUGACUGCGUACCUUUUGUAUAAUGGGUCAGCGACUUAUAUUCUGUAGCAAGGUUAACCGAAUAGGGGAGCCGGAGGGAAACCGAGUCUUAAUUGGGCGUUAAGUUGCAGGGUAUAGACCCGAAACCCGGUGAUCUAGCCAUGGGCAGGUUGAAGGUUGGGUAACACUAACUGGAGGACCGAACCGACUAAUGUUGAAAAAUUAGCGGAUGACCUGUGGCUGGGGGUGAAAGGCCAAUCAAACCGGGAGAUAGCUGGUUCUCCCCGAAAGCUAUUUAGGUAGCGCCUCGUGAAUUCAUCUCCGGGGGUAGAGCACUGUUUCGGCUAGGGGGCCAUCCCGGCUUACCAACCCGAUGCAAACUGCGAAUACCGGAGAAUGUUAUCACGGGAGACACACGGCGGGUGCUAACGUCCGUCGUGAAGAGGGAAACAACCCAGACCGCCAGCUAAGGUCCCAAAGUCAUGGUUAAGUGGGAAACGAUGUGGGAAGGCCCAGACAGCCAGGAUGUUGGCUUAGAAGCAGCCAUCAUUUAAAGAAAGCGUAAUAGCUCACUGGUCGAGUCGGCCUGCGCGGAAGAUGUAACGGGGCUAAACCAUGCACCGAAGCUGCGGCAGCGACGCUUAUGCGUUGUUGGGUAGGGGAGCGUUCUGUAAGCCUGUGAAGGUGGCCUGUGAGGGUUGCUGGAGGUAUCAGAAGUGCGAAUGCUGACAUAAGUAACGAUAAAGCGGGUGAAAAGCCCGCUCGCCGGAAGACCAAGGGUUCCUGUCCAACGUUAAUCGGGGCAGGGUGAGUCGACCCCUAAGGCGAGGCCGAAAGGCGUAGUCGAUGGGAAACGGGUUAAUAUUCCCGUACUUGGUGUUACUGCGAAGGGGGGACGGAGAAGGCUAUGUUGGCCGGGCGACGGUUGUCCCGGUUUAAGCGUGUAGGUGUGUGUUCCAGGUAAAUCCGGUUCACUUUAACACUGAGGCGUGAUGACGAGGCACUACGGUGCUGAAGUAACAAAUGCCCUGCUUCCAGGAAAAGCCUCUAAGCAUCAGGUAACAUCAAAUCGUACCCCAAACCGACACAGGUGGUCAGGUAGAGAAUACCAAGGCGCUUGAGAGAACUCGGGUGAAGGAACUAGGCAAAAUGGUGCCGUAACUUCGGGAGAAGGCACGCUGACAC